Long non-coding RNA from Alexandromys fortis (reed vole), 2066 nucleotides. RefSeq lists it as uncharacterized. NCBI's taxonomy places the organism in Eukaryota, Metazoa, Chordata, Mammalia, Rodentia, Cricetidae. The record is from RefSeq and is a predicted model, not a curated record. The transcript is spliced from 3 exons.
UUUCUGGGAAGGAUAUUAUAAGGUACUAUAAAAACAGUCACUGACCAUUCAGGCUGUACAAAAACACAGAACAAGUGGCAAACUCUCAGAGGUACCAGUGGCCCUACCUUAAAAUGGUUAACUAAGAAACCUAUAUGAGUUAAACAAUGGUCUUUAACAAUAGAGAAACUGCAGGCUUUAGAACAGCUGGUACAGGAACAACUAGAUGAUCACCAUAUUGAAGAAUCAUCCAGUCCUUGGAAUUCUCCUGUAUUUGUUGUUAAAAAGAAAUCUGGAAGAUGGAGAAUGGUGACAGAUCUAAGAGCUGUUAAUAAGGUUAUCCAGCCUAUGAGCCCUCUAUAAUCUGGUAUUCCUUUGCCUUCCCUAUUGCCUAAAGGAUGGCCUCUUAUAGUUAUUGAUUUAAAAGAUUGUUUCUUUACUAUACUGUUACAAGAAAAAGACAAGGAAUAAUUUGCCUUCUCAGUGCCUACUCAUAAUAAUUCUCAGCCAACUAAAAGAAAGGUUACAUAGCCACACCCUCUGCCAAUAUUUUGUAAGUAGCCAUUGGAAAUAAUGCAUAUGCAAUUUUCUGAAUUUAUAGUUUAUCAUUACUUGGAUGAUAUUUUGUUAUCUGAUUCAAAUGUAGAUCCUUUAGAAAGAAUAUUUGAAGACAUGAAGAAAGUUUUACCUAGUUGGGGAUUACAAAUUGCUCCUGAAAAAAUAUAGAGAGGAGAUAUUGUCAAUUAUCUAGGUUAUAAAAUAGUUUUACAGAAAAUUAGAACACAGAAAGUGCAAAUUAGGAGAGAGUGAUUGCAGAUUUUUAAUGACUUCCAAAGAUUGCUAGGAGACAAUUCCAAUCUAUAGCCCACUUCUGGGAUAAGACCUGACCAAAUAAUUCAUUAAAAAAAAACUUAGAUGGUGACCAAGACUUAAAUAGUCUCAGGGAAUUAUCAGCUGAAGCUGAGAAAGAAUUGACUUUGAUUAAAAAGAAAUUAUAGGAGGCACAUGUGGUUCUUGUGGAUCUGAAUCUAAAAUUAAAACCUUAUCUGGAAAAGGUCUCUGAAUUAAUUAUAAAAGGACAAUUGAGAAAAAAAGCUUUGGAUACCAUCAAAAUUAAUAAAGAUUUGGUUUGAGAAGGAGAAAUCUCUUAAUAAAGAGUAAUGACAGCUCAUUCACAGAGAUGACAAUGUUACAGGUUGUAAGAAAACCUUAUAAGGGUUGGGGGCAGGAUUCUGUUCUUGUCUUUGCAGGAAAAUACCAAUCUUCAAAACUCAAGGGACCUUGGACAGCUAGACGGCUUAAAGAAGAAAAGAUAAAUAUCCAGAAAGAAUCACCAAGCAAAGAGAAAUCUGACUCAUGAUACCAAUAACUUCUAAUCUAUUUCAGAGAAUGAUGGGAACUGAAGACACUCUACUUGGAACUGUUUUCAUCUUGGCAAAACUGGACUUUGGACAAAAAACUGCCUCUGCCUUGACUACAGAUAAAAUGCACAGUGUCCAGACUGGACAAGCAGGAUGACCCAGACACGGAGCACCUCUCAGGACCGUCUCUGAAGAGAGUGAAGGCCAAAGCUCAGCACGUGUCUCAUGGUGAGAAGAAUAAACUGGCUGCCCUCAGAUCAUUAACAGUUCUCUCAGGGCUGGAGAGAUGGCUCAGUGGUUAAGAGUACAUGCUGUUCCUGAACAGAGAAUUCUCAACAGAAGAAUUUCAAAUGGCCAGAAGAUACUUAAGGACAUGUUCAACUUCCUUAGCUAUCAGGGAAAUGCAAAUCAAAACAACUUUGAGAUACCAUCUUAUACCUGUCAGAAUGGUUAAAAUAAAAAAAAAAACCCACCAAUGAUAGCUUAUGCUGGAGAGGAUGUGGAGUAAGGGGAAUACUCAUCCAUUGCUGGUGGGAAUGCAAACUUGUGCAACCACUUUGGAAAUCAGUGUGGCGGUUUCUCAGGAAACUGGGAGUCAACCUACCUCAGGAUCCAGCAAUACCACUCUUGGGAAUAUACCCAAAAGAUGCCCAAUCAAACCACAAUAGAAUUUGUUCAACUAUCUUCAUAGCAGCAUUAUUUGUAAUAGUCAGAACCUGGAAACAA